UCCCUGGUGGCUCAGAGGGUAAAGCGUCUGCUUACAAUGCUGGAUACCCGGGUUCAAUCCCUGGGUCGGGAA
This 72-nucleotide transfer RNA is filed under the name Bos taurus (domestic cattle). It matches the Rfam family "tRNA". From Rfam's summary of the family: Transfer RNA (tRNA) molecules are approximately 80 nucleotides in length. Their secondary structure includes four short double-helical elements and three loops (D, anti-codon, and T loops). RNAcentral also lists the same sequence under 2 other names. The record is from Rfam by way of RNAcentral. Lineage: Eukaryota; Metazoa; Chordata; Mammalia; Artiodactyla; Bovidae.